Molecule: ribosomal RNA, 671 nt
Filed under: Skeletocutis nivea
Lineage: Eukaryota; Fungi; Basidiomycota; Agaricomycetes; Polyporales; Incrustoporiaceae
Description: eukaryotic LSU rRNA
Rfam family: 5.8S ribosomal RNA (bases 262-415)
Source: RNAcentral
GUCGUAACAAGGUUUCCGUAGGUGAACCUGCGGAAGGAUCAUUAUCGAGUCUUUGAAAGAAGUUGUAGCUGGCCUUUCGGGGCAUGUGCACGCUUCGCUCAAAUCCAACUCAUUUUCAACACCUGUGCACAUAUUGUAGGAYGGUUGAUACAAACGAAGAACUUAGGUUCCUCUCGAGUUGUUGACGCCUUCCUAUGUUUCAUUUACACACUCAUUGUCGUAYCAUGAAUGUUUUUUGCGCUUAAAUAACGCAUUAUAUAUAACUUUUAGCAACGGAUCUCUUGGCUCUCGCAUCGAUGAAGAACGCAGCGAAAUGCGAUAAGUAAUGUGAAUUGCAGAAUUCAGUGAAUCAUCGAAUCUUUGAACGCAACUUGCGCCCUUUGGUAUUCCGAAGGGCAUGCCCGUUUGAGUGUCAUGGUAUUCUCAAAGCCCUCUUCAUUUUUUUGAUGAUGUUGGCGCUUUGGAUUUGGAGGUCUUUUUUGCRGGUUUAGUUAAURAAUCUGCUCCUCUUGAAUGUAUUAGCUGGAAAUCUUUGCUCAGGUCUAGCUUCAGUGUGAUAAUUGUCUACGCUGUAGCUGUCUAAGCACAUGUAUGGAAUUCCGCUUCUAGUUGUCUUCUAAAGACAGAUUGUAAUGAUCUUUUGACAUCUGACCUCAAAUCGGGUAGGACUA